GCGGAAACACAUUGAUACAAGGCUUCACAGACCGACUGAACAGAGAGCUUUCUCAGAAGACCCCUCCUAGUAUGCGCUUGAAGUUGAUGGCCAAUAACACCACAGUGGAGCGAAGGUUUAGCUCCUGGAUUGGUGGCUCUAUUUUAGCUUCUUUGGGAACAUUCCAGCAGAUGUGGAUUUCUAAACAGGAAUAUGAAGAAGGAGGCAAACAGUGUGUUGAAAGAAAAUGUCCUUAAAGCUCAGGCAAGCAACCAGUUUGUGAGGGCAUCAUGGCAGCCUGGCUUUUUGUCUCCAUUAGAUUUCUCAGGAACACUGUACUAAAACUUCCUGUAUAAAUUCUUUCACUGGUUUCUUUGUAUAGUAACUAGAUGCUAAUGUACAUUUCUGAAGAUUUUUGUUUUGUUUUAAAAAAAAAUCUCAAAAAUAGUCCAAAAGAUGCAAUACUUUUAAAAGUGUUGAGGCUGUUUAAACAAGACUUAAUACCAAUCAUGUCAAAUCCCUGUGACUUAACGUCAAAAUAUUUCACAUUGUAGUGAUAUUUUUGUAAGCACUGGUUGUUUUUGUACAUGGAAUAGAUUAACCGUUUUAACUUCAGUAAUUUGUGCCUUUUAUUGGAAUAAAUUGAGAAUAUUCCUGAAGCAGUUCGCAGGCCAAACCUAACCACAGUACACCUUAACUACAGUCCUGCCUGUUACCCUUUGUUACAAAUUUGCAACCAUUUCCUGUGGGAUAAUUUGAAACGAGUUUGUAAUUUAUACACAGCUGAUUUUAAAAUUGAAAAUAAACCAUCUUUGGAAACUU
Molecule: long non-coding RNA, 801 nt
Organism: Callorhinchus milii (elephant shark)
Lineage: Eukaryota; Metazoa; Chordata; Chondrichthyes; Chimaeriformes; Callorhinchidae
Exons: 3
Source: RefSeq, a predicted model, not a curated record